AAUUUAAUGACGGGUAUGCCUUAGCAAAAUUUAACUUAAAUUAUCUAGAAACAUCCUUUAAUUUAGUAAAGGUGAUUGAAAUUUUAUGUUUAUCUUAACCCUGAAAUAGUACCGUGAGGGAAAUACCUAGUUGCUAUUUAGUAGUGCUUGAUUCACGUACCUUUUGUAUCAUGGUUUAGCUAGAUUUAAACCUAAGUUGUAGAUAUCUCGAAGCCUAAUGAGCUACUUUCUGCUGCUGUAUUAGCAGAGAUUAAAAGUAACUGUGGCAAAAUUUUUUUUAAAGCAGAAAGUAGAAAUGAAAUUUUAUCCGUAUUAGGAGAUAGCUAGUUUUUUACAAAAAGCAUAGAAGUGCUGAGUUUCAUUAUUUAACUUUAAAUUUUACUGAAGUUAAAAUCUGAAGCCUUUAAAUUUUUGAGGAUAAGCUCAAAAAUAUUCGUGAUGAGUAAUAAUUAAGCUUUCUAAAAAUUUAAGCUUGAAAUCAGCUAUAAUUUGGAAGUUUGUUAUAAAUUAUUUAUAAUGAUAAAGGAAAAAUUUAUAUUAUAUUAAGAAAGUAAAAGCAUCUUAAAAACUAAAGUAAGAUUACUUAAUGCUAAAAUGAGUAUUUACAAUGACUAUAAACCUUUAGUUUUUCUAAAACUAAAGUUCUUUUAAUUUUAAUACCAUAAAAUUUUAGAAAGGAACUCGGCAAAAUAAAUUACUCUGCCUGUUUAUCAAAAACAUGGCUCUUUGAUUAUGAAAUAUAAAGAGUCGGACCUGCCCAGUGAUAAAAAUUUAACGGCCGCGGUACUCUGACCGUGCAAAGGUAGCAUAAUCAUUUGCCCUAUAAUUGAGGGCUAGUAUGAAUGGUUUGACAAGAGUAAUACUGUCUCUCUAAAAUUUUCUAGAAAUUAAUUUUUAGGUGAAGAAUCCUAAAUAAAAUUGAAAGACAAGAAGACCCUAUCGAGCUUCAAAGAAGCAUGUAGACAUAAUAAGCAUCAUUGCAUUUUCUACUACUUGAAAUUUUGGUUGGGGCGACUGAGGAACAUUCAGAGCUUCUUUAAUAUUGUUAAAACCCACAGGUUUUGAUCCAGCUAAAAUGCUGAUUAAUGGAAUUAGUUACCGUAGGGAUAACAGCAUAAUCUUCUUCAAGAGCUCAUAUCGAAAAGAAGGUUUGUGACCUCGAUGUUGGACUAGAAUAUCCUGAAGAUGCAGAAGUCUUUAAGGGUUGGUCUGUUCGACCAUUAAAAUUCUACAUGAUCUGAGUUCAGACCGGCGUGAGCCAGGUCAGUUUCUAUCUUCAAUUUAAGACUUUAAGUUUAGUACGAAAGGACCAACUUAAAAUAAUAAUUAUUUAAGACUACAGAUGAAAUGUAAUUUCUGUAUGAAAACUUAUAGACAUUAAAUAUACCAGCUACUUUUGGCUCUGGGAGAACUUCACUCCCUAAGUUUAACAUA
This 1434-nucleotide ribosomal RNA is filed under the name Ifremeria nautilei. Its description in RNAcentral is "16S ribosomal RNA". The stretch from base 93 to 1302 matches the Rfam family "Bacterial large subunit ribosomal RNA". The record is from RNAcentral. Lineage: Eukaryota; Metazoa; Mollusca; Gastropoda; Provannidae.